RNAcentral lists this ribosomal RNA (389 nucleotides) under uncultured bacterium. RNAcentral's name for it is "bacterial SSU rRNA". It matches the Rfam family "Bacterial small subunit ribosomal RNA", at positions 28 to 411 of the family's 1533-position model. The record is from RNAcentral.
GACGAACGCUGGCGGCGUGCUUAACACAUGCAAGUCGAGCGGUAAGGCCCUUUCGGGGGUACGACGAGCGGCGAACGGGUGAGUAGCACGUGGGUGGACCUGCCUUUAGUCUCUGGGAGUAAGCCUGGGAAACGUGGGUCGUAAUACCGGAUAUGACCCUAUGGCGCAUGUUGUGGGGUGGAAAGCCUUGUGCGGCUAGGGAUGGGCCCGGCGGCCUAUCAGCUUGUUGGUGGGGUGAUGGCCACCAAGGCGACGACGGGUAGCCGGCCUGAGAGGGCGACCGGCCACACUGGGACUGAGACACGGCCCAGACUCCUACGGGAGGGCAGCAGUGGGGAAUCUUGCGCAAUGGGCGAAAGCCUGACGCAGCGACGCCGCGUGAGGGAUGA